ACUAUGGAUUUCACACACAUUGAUUCAAGCGUCUUGAAUAGAUGAAGGGACGGAAUAAGGAGAAAUGGGGUAAACAAAUAAUUUCGUAAAAAUGCUCGACUUCAUAGACGACACAUGGUGACAGUAAUCGUUCAGAAUAUAUUUACAAGAGCAGUACAAAGAAUAACGCGAUAUUACACGUACAUAUUUGUUGAUACGUAUACUAACAAGUAAUUGGUAAGCAGGUGAACAGUUUAAUUGUUAAUUGAGGCACGUGACAAUAAGGCAUUUCUACAGAGGACAAAAUACGAUCGUGCAUAUCCAAAGUCGGACUCUUCGCAAGGAUUCUUCGUCUUACGCGCGCAUCCAACUACAAGAAGAGAAAAAAAAGAACCAUGGCCGAACAUUGCGUAUAAUAAUUAACGAGUCUUUGACUUCAAGUCCCGGAACUUUUCACAAAAGCACUAUACGCCGUUGUGACGGAAGAUUCGUCGGUGUUAUACUACCGGAGUGAGAUGGCGGUGGAUUACUGCUCGGUCUGCUCGACACAAGAUU
This 534-nucleotide unclassified non-coding RNA is filed under the name Bombus terrestris (buff-tailed bumblebee). Its description in RNAcentral is "misc RNA ENSBTSG00005031020.1". Lineage: Eukaryota; Metazoa; Arthropoda; Insecta; Hymenoptera; Apidae. The record is from RNAcentral.